AUUGACCGCUGGCGGCAGGCUUAACACAUGCAAGUCGAGCGAGCGGCGGACGGGUGAGUAAUGUCUGGGAAACUGACUGAUGGAGGGGGCUCACUACUGGAAACGGUAGCUAAUACCGCAUACCAUCAGAUGUGCCCCGAUGGGAUUAGCUAGUAGGGGGGGUAAGGGCUCACCUAGUCGACGAUCCCUAGAUGGUCUGAGAGGAUGACCAGCCACACGUGAACUGAGACACGGUCCAGACUCCUACGGGAGGCAGCAGUGGGGAAUAGUGCACAAUGGGCGCAAGCCUGAUGCAGCCAUGCCGCGUGUGUGAAGAAGGCCUUCGGGUUGUAAAGCACUUUCAGCGAGGAGGCGUUACUCGCAGAAGAAGCACCGGCUAACUCCGUGCCAGCAGCCGCGGUAAUUC
RNAcentral lists this ribosomal RNA (406 nucleotides) under uncultured bacterium. Its description in RNAcentral is "partial 16S ribosomal RNA". It matches the Rfam family "Bacterial small subunit ribosomal RNA", at positions 30 to 526 of the family's 1533-position model. The record is from RNAcentral.